RNAcentral lists this ribosomal RNA (459 nucleotides) under uncultured bacterium. RNAcentral describes it as "partial 16S ribosomal RNA". It matches the Rfam family "Bacterial small subunit ribosomal RNA", at positions 338 to 795 of the family's 1533-position model. The record is from RNAcentral.
CCUACGGGGCGCAGCAGUGAGGAAUAUUGGUCAAUGGGCGGGAGCCUGAACCAGCCAAGCCGCGUGAGGGAAGAAGGUACAGCGUAUCGUAAACCUCUUUUGUCAGGGAACAAAGGCGGGGACUAGUCCCCGGAUGAGGGUACCUGAAGAAAAAGCAUCGGCUAACUCCGUGCCAGCAGCCGCGGUAAUACCGAGGAUGCGAGCGUUAUCCGGAUUUAUGGGGUUUAAAGGGUGCGCAGGCGGCCUGUUAAGUCAGCGGUAAAAGCCCGGGGCUCAACCCCGGCGAGCCGUUGAAACUGGCGGGCUGGAGUUGGAGAGAAGUACGCGGAAUGCGCGGUGUAGCGGUGAAAUGCUUAGAUAUCGCGCAGAACCCCGAUUGCGAAGGCAGCGUACCGGCUCCACACUGACGCUGAGGCACGAAAGCGUGGGUAUCGAACAGGAUUAGAUACCCCGGUAGUC